Molecule: unclassified non-coding RNA, 299 nt
Filed under: Ascomycota sp.
Lineage: Eukaryota; Fungi; Ascomycota
Description: partial contains small subunit ribosomal RNA, internal transcribed spacer 1, and 5.8S ribosomal RNA
Rfam family: Eukaryotic small subunit ribosomal RNA (bases 1-47)
Source: RNAcentral
AAAGUCGUAACAAGGUUUCCGUAGGUGAACCUGCGGAAGGAUCAUUACAGUGCCCCAGGGGUGCCGCACCUUCCCUUAACCGGGAGGGCCCGCCGGCCCCCAGGACGCCCAACCGUGUCUACCUGAACCUAGUUGCCUUGGCGGGCCCGUCGGGGUGAUUCCCGACCGCCGGGGGUAAGCCGCCGUGCUCCCCGGGCCCGCGCCCGCCAAUGGAAUCUUAACCAAACUCUUGUUUAAGCUGGCUGUCUGAGUGAGAAAUAAUUGAAUCAAAACUUUCAACAAUGGAUCUCUUGGUUCCG